Molecule: long non-coding RNA, 434 nt
Filed under: Ornithorhynchus anatinus (platypus)
Lineage: Eukaryota; Metazoa; Chordata; Mammalia; Monotremata; Ornithorhynchidae
Description: lncRNA (ENSOANG00000036098.1)
Source: RNAcentral
GGAUUUCCCUAAAUGGGACUCAGCUGGCUUGAUGGAAGAGUUCCGCACCUCGUGGAUUGCAGCUCACGGGGAAGAAGGGGAAGGGGAAGACGUGUUGGCCGAGUAGAAGGCGUUCGUGGACUGGGAGUUCGGCGCUUUGCCUAUGAUUUCAUCUAGAACCGUCUGGAUGAAGAACCAAGUCAAUGGGGGCUCAGGCUCGGUUUGCCUGCGACUCCUUCCUGUGGCCUCGCUUCUUUCGAGACCGCAAGCUCUUUGAGGGCAGGGAACUCCCCCACGCACCGAGUACAGUGCUCUGCACAAGGGCCAAGCUUGGCAUCACUGUUAGGGAGGGGACCCAACUGAGCAUCGUCCAUGCCCGGGGCAUGGCAGCCACGGGAGACCCUGCCCCCAACCCCAUCGUGCUCCUCUUCUGGAUUCCGCCGCCCCCAGUUUGA